GCUGGAAGAAGUCUGGAAGAGAUUCGGAGGGUAGUCGAUCACUGAAGAAAAUCGGCUGGUAGUGAAGCCCAGAGAGCAUUUGGAGCAGUCCGAUAGAUGAAUGGAGGAGCUCAUUAUUGGAGAAAUCCAGAUGGCACGAUAGAAGUUCGUCCGUUUGAGGAAUCUGGAGGACACUAUGGAAGGUCGACUGCUGGGGGAGUCCGGAUGGUAUUAUGGAAGCUCGGACGGCUGGAGAGGUUCAGCUGCUGGGGGAGUCCGGAUGGUAUUAUGGAAGCUCGGACGGUCGGAGAGGUUCAGAAAGAUGCUGCACAAGGUCGGAAGCCGG
This 325-nucleotide long non-coding RNA is filed under the name Elaeis guineensis (African oil palm). RNAcentral's name for it is "long non-coding RNA (EGUI_LNC013189)". Lineage: Eukaryota; Viridiplantae; Streptophyta; Magnoliopsida; Arecales; Arecaceae. The record is from RNAcentral.